AAGCAACAUCUGUACAGCAACUAGCUCUAUACACGUGAGAGAGCUGCUGGCGAUGUGGCGAGA
RNAcentral lists this small nucleolar RNA (63 nucleotides) under Strigomonas culicis. RNAcentral's name for it is "Trypanosomatid snoRNA TB11Cs5H2". It matches the Rfam family "Trypanosomatid snoRNA TB11Cs5H2". Lineage: Eukaryota; Euglenozoa; Kinetoplastea; Trypanosomatida; Trypanosomatidae. The record is from Rfam by way of RNAcentral.